GAAGAAAAAAAGAAAAGAAGAAAAAAGAAAAAAAAGAAGAGAAAGAAAAAGAAAAGAAAGAAAAAAAUAGAAGUGUGGCGACCAAUAUGAUGUUGGUGCACCACAUGCGACAACGCGCGCUGAUCGCAAUCAUCAGCGCCUGGCAUUUUUGGUAAUAUGCGUGUGAUGGUGUGUGGUGACGCUGGCGAUUGGGACUGCGUAUCGAAGGUAAGAGGAAGUCAAAGAUCAAUGGAAGAUGACGAAAAAAAAAUUAUUAGUUUUUAUUUUUUAAUUGUAAAUUAAUUUAUAUUUUUCAAUUAUUUGUAAACAAAUAAUUAUCCAAUCACAAGUGAUGUGUAUUAAAGUGUAGUUCUGCUACAUAUUAAUAUUUAUUUGUUCUACUAGUUGGAAAUAUUGUGCUAACGUCUGUACCCACCGACAUUGGAGUUCGAGAUGUUACACUUACUUCAAGUGAUUCCUUCAGGAUACAAGAAGUUAGGCUUAUAAUAUACACAAAGAGACAAACAGUUGUGUUGCUUGUUGAUCAAUACAUCUUUUGAGUUGCA
This is a long non-coding RNA of Carica papaya (papaya), 545 nucleotides long. RefSeq lists it as uncharacterized. NCBI's taxonomy places the organism in Eukaryota, Viridiplantae, Streptophyta, Magnoliopsida, Brassicales, Caricaceae. The record is from RefSeq and is a predicted model, not a curated record.